Molecule: ribosomal RNA, 508 nt
Filed under: uncultured bacterium
Lineage: Bacteria
Description: partial 16S ribosomal RNA
Rfam family: Bacterial small subunit ribosomal RNA
Source: RNAcentral
GACGAACGCUGGCGGCGUGCCUAAUACAUGCAAGUCGAACGCUUCUUUCCUCCCGAGUGCUUGCACUCAAUUGGAAAGAGGAGUGGCGGACGGGUGAGUAACACGUGGGUAACCUACCCAUCAGAGGGGGAUAACACUUGGAAACAGGUGCUAAUACCGCAUAACAGUUUAUGCCGCAUGGCAUAAGAGUGAAAGGCGCUUUCGGGUGUCGUUGAUGGAUGGACCCGCGGUGCAUUAGCUAGUUGGUGAGGUAACGGCUCACCAAGGCCACGAUGCAUAGCCGACCUGAGAGGGUGAUUGGCCACACUGGGACUGAGACACGGCCCAGACUCCUACGGGAGGCAGCAGUAGGGAAUCUUCGGCAAUGGACGAAAGUCUGACCGAGCAACGCCGCGUGAGUGAAGAAGGUUUUCGGAUCGUAAAACUCUGUUGUUAGAGAAGAACAAGGACGUUAGUAACUGAACGUCCCCUGACGGUAUCUAACCAGAAAGCCACGGCUAACUACGUG